GGUUUACCUGUGUGACUGCGUACCUUUUGUAUAAUGGGUCAGCGACUUAUAUUCUGUAGCAAGGUUAACCGUAUAGGGGAGCCGGAGGGAAACCGAGUCUUAAUUGGGCGUUAAGUUGCAGGGUAUAGACCCGAAACCCGGUGAUCUAGCCAUGGGCAGGUUGAAGGUUGGGUAACACUAACUGGAGGACCGAACCGACUAAUGUUGAAAAAUUAGCGGAUGACCUGUGGCUGGGGGUGAAAGGCCAAUCAAACCGGGAGAUAGCUGGUUCUCCCCGAAAGCUAUUUAGGUAGCGCCUCGUGAAUUCAUCUCCGGGGGUAGAGCACUGUUUCGGCUAGGGGGCCAUCCCGGCUUACCAACCCGAUGCAAACUGCGAAUACCGGAGAAUGUUAUCACGGGAGACACACGGCGGGUGCUAACGUCCGUCGUGAAGAGGGAAACAACCCAGACCGCCAGCUAAGGUCCCAAAGUCAUGGUUAAGUGGGAAACGAUGUGGGAAGGCCCAGACAGCCAGGAUGUUGGCUUAGAAGCAGCCAUCAUUUAAAGAAAGCGUAAUAGCUCACUGGUCGAGUCGGCCUGCGCGGAAGAUGUAACGGGGCUAAACCAUGCACCGAAGCUGCGGCAGCGAACGUAUCACCCAAGACAACUUUACGGAGUUGACGAUUGACGGAGCGAAGCGACGUCAAAGCGUUCAUUAAAGUCGAGUUGGCUUAGGGAUACGUUCGUUGGGUAGGGGAGCGUUCUGUAAGCCUGUGAAGGUGUGUCGUGAGGCAUGCUGGAGGUAUCAGAAGUGCGAAUGCUGACAUAAGUAACGAUAAAGCGGGUGAAAAGCCCGCUCGCCGGAAGACCAAGGGUUCCUGUCCAACGUUAAUCGGGGCAGGGUGAGUCGACCCCUAAGGCGAGGCCGAAAGGCGUAGUCGAUGGGAAACGGGUUAAUAUUCCCGUACUUGGUGUUACUGCGAAGGGGGGACGGAGAAGGCUAUGUUGGCCGGGCGACGGUUGUCCCGGUUUAAGCGUGUAGGCUGGUUUUCCAGGCAAAUCCGGAAAAUCAAG
Molecule: ribosomal RNA, 1053 nt
Filed under: Salmonella enterica subsp. enterica serovar Saintpaul
Lineage: Bacteria; Pseudomonadati; Pseudomonadota; Gammaproteobacteria; Enterobacterales; Enterobacteriaceae
Description: partial 23S ribosomal RNA
Rfam family: Bacterial large subunit ribosomal RNA
Source: RNAcentral